AUGAACGCGUACUGGUACAUAUACAUGCGCACCCGGGGCAGCGACCUGUCGAAGCUGAUCGGCGAGGAGCCCAUGAAGCGGCGGUACAAGACCUCGGCCGAGGAGGCGGCGUGGGAGUACCAGGACGCGGCGUGGAGCCCGCUGGUCCGGCUCCUUGGCGGUGGCGGCGGCAAGGCGUGGCCGGCCGACGAGGCACGGGAGAAGGCGGCGGCGUUCGUCAGCGUGCUGGAGGAGAGGGUGAGGAAGCACGGGGCGGAGUACAAGAUCCCGGACGGCGACCUCAGGGCGCAGAUCAAGGCCGCGGUGACCAAGGCCGUGCGCGGCGCGUACGCCGGGUUUCUGAAGGCGAACGAGAAGGCGGUGGCCGGCGGGAGGCGGGAGCUCCUGCAGGUGGACGUCAUCGAGAGCAUGGUGAGGCGGGUGUUCGAGGAGAUGGGCGACGGUGAAGCCGGCGGCAAGGGCAUGGGCCGGACGAGGAGCAGCGGCCGGGUACGGCGGGAGAGCGGCAAUAUCGAAGGGUUCGAGGCCAGCUGA
Molecule: ribosomal RNA, 534 nt
Filed under: Triticum aestivum (bread wheat)
Lineage: Eukaryota; Viridiplantae; Streptophyta; Magnoliopsida; Poales; Poaceae
Description: partial small subunit ribosomal RNA
Source: RNAcentral